UGUGUCAUUUGAGAAUCCAUUGUUUAAUAAUUAUCUAUUGCGCCAGAAACUAUCAAAACAGCGAGUUGCUUGGGAAGUUCCUGUAGAAACUCCCAAAGCCAAGCGCAGGUUUUUCAAACGACAGUCCCUCACUGAUAUUCUACAAAACCGAACACUACGAAACGCAGAACAUCCAAGAGGUACACCAGAAACGAAACGAGCGCUGCGUUUUGUUGGUGGUUCCUCUUGAGCCACACUGCGCUACCAUUUGUAUCAUAUCAAGUUUUGCGAGUUGUUAAAAUA
Molecule: non-coding RNA, 282 nt
Filed under: Vannella robusta
Lineage: Eukaryota; Discosea; Flabellinia; Vannellidae
Source: RNAcentral